CAGCAGCCGCGGGAAUACGUAGGUCCCGAGCGUUGUCCGGAUUUAUUGGGCGUAAAGCGAGCGCAGGCGGUUAGAUAAGUCUGAAGUUAAAGGCUGUGGCUUAACCAUAGUACGCUUUGGAAACUGUUUAACUUGAGUGCAAGAGGGGAGAGUGGAAUUCCAUGUGUAGCGGUGAAAUGCGUAGAUAUAUGGAGGGACACCGGUGGCGAAAGCGGCUCUCUGGCUUGUAACUGACGCUGAGGCUCGAAAGCGUGGGGAGCAAACAGGAUUAGAUACCCCGGUAGUCCCUGUCUCUUAUACA
This 301-nucleotide ribosomal RNA is filed under the name uncultured bacterium. Its description in RNAcentral is "partial 16S ribosomal RNA". It matches the Rfam family "Bacterial small subunit ribosomal RNA", at positions 509 to 808 of the family's 1533-position model. The record is from RNAcentral.